GACACAGGCAUCUGUGGCUUUAAAAAGCCUUCAGGUUUAAAACUUAUGUCCAUACAGAAACAUGGAUGUGGAUUUCACAACAGUUUCACUCAUAACUGUCAAAAUUUGGAAGCUACCAAGAUGUUCUUCAAUAGCACUGUUGAAUCACACUGGUUUCUGCCACCUGAGUGACCCACUGAUUCAUACCUGUCUGCAAUGGCAGAGACUUCUGACCCCACCAGCUCUGUUUUUCAGUUGUGAGUCAUGUGCAAACAGCUCCUCGACCAGGGAUUAAACCUGCACCCCCUGCAUUGGAAGGCGAAGUCUUUAGCACUGGACUGCCAGGGAAGU
Molecule: long non-coding RNA, 330 nt
Organism: Bubalus bubalis (water buffalo)
Lineage: Eukaryota; Metazoa; Chordata; Mammalia; Artiodactyla; Bovidae
Exons: 3
Source: RefSeq, a predicted model, not a curated record